Molecule: long non-coding RNA, 1237 nt
Filed under: Homo sapiens (human)
Lineage: Eukaryota; Metazoa; Chordata; Mammalia; Primates; Hominidae
Description: HSALNT0112256
Source: RNAcentral
GGUAGGCUUACUCGAUGGCUUUUCAUUUCUUUCUGUUUCUUCCCAUGGCUUCCAUACAUAUUUUAGGCAGAGAUAUUUUGGAACUUCACAAUGCACACAUUUCCUUUUCUCAAAUGGGGGAAAUGUAUUUAAAUUUGGAACAGAAGGCACAUACCCAACAUUACUCUUUUAAUAAACUUGUUUCCUUCUGUCCUCAACUAAUGUUACUAUUUUUCAUUGUAAUAAUCUUUGCGCAGCCACUCAUUUGCAUUUGCCUACUGAAAGACAUCACAUGACUGCGUCACUCGGAUGAACCAAGAUAGUUGCAUUUGGAGAUAGAGCCUUCAGGAAGCUCCUUCUGUGUGGUCCAACUCUCUUCCGCGCAUAGGACACACACACAUCUUUCAGUGCUGCCCUCAGAGUCCAGCCCAUGCUUGCCAGCCCUCCCUUAAUCCCUGCCUUCCAGCAACCUGCACACUCAGCGCUCCACACAUUCCACAGGGUCAGUACCCAGCUCCCAGGGCUCUGUCAUCUUUGGAAGACCAGACGGUUGUUGCUAGGCAGAAUAUACAGGGCACAACUGUAGCCAACUGUCUAACUCAAGCCUAUUCAUGGUAUUUCUCUGUUUGCAUGGAUUAUGAAUCGAGGAAGCAAUGAUUUUUCAGUUUACCACACAAGCUGUUGUUCCUUGAUUAACUGUUAUGAAAAUGAUAGCUAUGUUCUAUGACUUUAAUUUUACUAAAAUUCUGAGAUGCAAAAUAAUAUUCAGUCUAUAUUAUUUGCAGGAGAAUGAUUAGCUCUGCAGAGUAGUAGGAAGUAACAAAAGAAAUAGAGGGCAUUGGAACUGUCUUAUAUAGCAAGGCACAUGUAUGGAUUGGGGCAGGUUUGUCCUGUGCCAGCUUUUUGUACUACUUAAUCAAGUGGCCUGAAAUCAACUGUGUAUGCCUGUACAAGUUAUGACUUCUGACACAUGGAGGUCACUUGAAAUCAAAUAGAGGUACAAUCAAGUUCUGGUUUUACCUUGUACUAGUGCUGUGAUAUAUGCUUAGUUGCUUUACUUUCCUGAGUUUUAAUUUCUUCAUCUGUAAAAUGGUGGUAAUAACAGUCAAUGUGAAUGUAAACGAGAACAUAUAUGUAAAGGGGCCUCUCAGUUUAUACAACAAAGUCAUUGUUUAGUAAAUGUGAAUACUUGCCCCACCAAUAAAUAUCUGUUACAUGGACUUGAGUGUAUAGUUGAACUUUAUUUCAAUCUUGAAAA